UGAAACGAGAAUCAAAUGCCCAUCCACUAGGGCUGUAACGAUACAGAAACUCACGAUUCGGUUUGUAUCACGAUUUUUGACCCACGGUUCGAUACAUCCCACGAUUUUUUUAAAUUUAAAAAGCAUUUUAUUUAAACAACACUGAUAUACCAAUUAACUUUAUGUAACAUUUGAUAACAAAUAAUUUGGAACACUGAACAGAUUUGAACAGAAAGAAUACUAUUAAAGUAUAGCUAAAUUAAUAAAGAAAUAAACAAAGAUUGCAGUUGGAGGAUGCUUUUUGCUGCGGCAUUAGUCAAAUAUCCUUAUUAGCGCUUCUUAUUAGGCUAUGUGGCUUAAAUAAUGACAUAAUCAGGCCGUAUAGAAUGCAACAUGUUUAAUAGCCUAACUUUCAAUAGAUGGGGAAAACAUGAACGUCUUUAUCAUGAACGUCGCAAUAACGAGGCAUAGUGUUACGAGUAGCAUAAUGUGUGUGCGCGAGAUUGGCAGUGUGCGUAUGCGUGUGUGAGUGAGUGGACGAGCGAGGAGAGCGAGCGGUAGCGCGUGUGUCUAGUGAAGAAGCGAACGAGUCCGGUAGAAUAAAGUACCCAUCCUGUCAAUAAUCGGUGGCCGCUUCAUUCCGACCUAUAAGCAGACAAACUGCCAGUCAAAUCACACAAAACAAUAGAGACAGGAUCACAGAGGCAAUUUUCUUCGCGCUUGGCCCACUCUGGAUAAAUGUCGUUCAUAUCGCAUAUGAGGACCUUCGACGGCUGUGGAGAAAUGCAAUCCUCCGUAGCCACGGAGAGCAGUCAUCACAGAGAGGGCAUCUCGUCGCAUACUUAAGGCAUAGGAGGGGCGCUGUCAGCAGACUAUUAUUUAGACAAUUAUUAGCAAAUUUCAAUUGGACAUUUUGACCGGAGAGUUAGAAAGGGCAUAUCGCGCUUCUGCCUUCUCACACCGCGAGACAGGUUCGUGGCUUUGAGUGUCGCGAUUUCGGUUUCGAUACGCAAACUCACGAUUCGGUUUGUAUCACGAUUUUUGACCCAUGGUUCGAUACAUCCCAUGAUUUUUUUAAAUUUAAAAAGCGUUUUAUUUAAACAACACUGAUAUACCAAUUAACUUUAUGUAACAUUUGAUAACAAAUAAUUUGGAACACUGAACAGAUUUGAACAGAAAGAAUACUAUUAAAGUAUAGCUAAAUUAAUAAAGAAAUAAACAAAGAUUGCAGUUGGAGGAUGCUUUUUGCUGGUAGGCAAAAACCCUCAACUGUUUGGUUGGUUUAGUCAAAUAUCCUUAUUAGCGCUUCUUAUUAGGCUAUGUGGCUUAAAUAAUGACAUAAUCAGGCCGUAUAGAAUGCAACAUGUUUAAUCGCCUAACUUUCAAUAGAUGGGGAAAAACAUGAACGUCUUUAACAUGAACGUCGCAAUAACGAGGCAUAGUGUUACGAGUAGCAUAUGUGUGUGCGCGAGAUUGGCAGUGUGCGUAUGCGUGUGUGAGUGACGUCAGCGAGUGAGUGGACGAGCGAGGAGAGCGAGCGGUAGCGCGUGUGUCUAGUAGGGAUGGGCAAAAUGAUUAUUUUCCGGGAACUAGUUCUUUCAGUUCAGUUCACUAUAACGAUUCGUUUAUUUGAUUCGGUCGUUUUGAUUCGUUCGUUACGUCAGAUUA
This is a long non-coding RNA of Gadus macrocephalus (Pacific cod), 1647 nucleotides long. RefSeq lists it as uncharacterized. The transcript is spliced from 3 exons. The record is from RefSeq and is a predicted model, not a curated record. NCBI's taxonomy places the organism in Eukaryota, Metazoa, Chordata, Actinopteri, Gadiformes, Gadidae.